UACGAAGGGUGCAAGCGUUAAUCGGAAUUACUGGGCGUAAAGCGCGCGUAGGUGGUUCAGCAAGUUGGAUGUGAAAUCCCCGGGCUCAACCUGGGAACUGCAUCCAAAACUACUGAGCUAGAGUACGGUAGAGGGUGGUGGAAUUUCCUGUGUAGCGGUGAAAUGCGUAGAUAUAGGAAGGAACACCAGUGGCGAAGGCGACCACCUGGACUGAUACUGACACUGAGGUGCGAAAGCGUGGGGAGCAAAC
This 250-nucleotide ribosomal RNA is filed under the name uncultured bacterium. RNAcentral's name for it is "partial 16S ribosomal RNA". It matches the Rfam family "Bacterial small subunit ribosomal RNA", at positions 524 to 773 of the family's 1533-position model. The record is from RNAcentral.